This 506-nucleotide ribosomal RNA is filed under the name uncultured bacterium. Its description in RNAcentral is "partial 16S ribosomal RNA". It matches the Rfam family "Bacterial small subunit ribosomal RNA", at positions 29 to 523 of the family's 1533-position model. The record is from RNAcentral.
AGUGAACGCUGGCGGUAGGCCUAACACAUGCAAGUCGAACGGCAGCACAGGAGAGCUUGCUCUCUGGGUGGCGAGUGGCGGACGGGUGAGGAAUAUAUCGGAAUCUACUCUGUCGUGGGGGAUAACGUAGGGAAACUUACGCUAAUACCGCAUACGACCUACGGGUGAAAGCAGGGGAUCUUCGGACCUUGCGCGAUUGAAUGAGCCGAUGUCGGAUUAGCUAGUUGGCGGGGUAAAGGCCCACCAAGGCGACGAUCCGUAGCUGGUCUGAGAGGAUGAUCAGCCACACUAGAACUGAGAGACGGUCCAGACUCCUACGGGAGGCAGCAGUGGGGUAUAUUGAACAAUGGGCGCAAGCCUGAUCCAGCCAUGCCGCGUGGGUGAAGAAGGCCUUCGGGUUGUAAAGCCCUUUUGUUGGGAAAGAAAUCCAGCUGGCUAAUACCCGGUUGGGAUGACGGUACCCAAAGAAUAAGCACCGGCUAACUUCGUGCCAGCCGCCGCGGUAA